AUUGAACGCUGGCGGCAGGCCUAACACAUGCAAGUCGAACGAGUGGCGGACGGGUGAGGAAUGUCUGGGAAACUGCCCGAGGGAGGGGGAUAACUAGUGGAAACGGUAGAUAAUACCGCAUACCAUCGGAUGUGCCCAGAGUGGAUUAGCUAGUAGGUGGGGUAACGGCUCACCUAGGCGACGAUCCCUAGCUGGUCUGAGAGGAUGACCGGCCACACUGGAACGGAGACACGGUCCAGACUCCUACGGGAGGCAGCAGUGGGGAAUAUUGGACAAUGGGCGCAAGCCUGAUGCAGCCAUGCCGCGUGUAUGAAGAAGGCCUUCGGAUUGUAAAGUACUUUCAGCGAGGAGGCGUUACUCGCAGAAGAAGCACCGGCUAACUCCGUGCCAGCAGCCGCGGUAAUUC
RNAcentral lists this ribosomal RNA (406 nucleotides) under uncultured bacterium. RNAcentral's name for it is "partial 16S ribosomal RNA". It matches the Rfam family "Bacterial small subunit ribosomal RNA", at positions 30 to 526 of the family's 1533-position model. The record is from RNAcentral.